GACGAACGCUGGCGGCGUGCUUAACACAUGCAAGUCGAACGGAAAGGCCCUGCUUUUGUGGGGUGCUCGAGUGGCGAACGGGUGAGUAACACGUGAGUAACCUGCCCUUGACUUUGGGAUAACUUCAGGAAACUGGGGCUAAUACCGGAUAGGAGCUCCUGCUGCAUGGUGGGGGUUGGAAAGUUUCGGCGGUUGGGGAUGGACUCGCGGCUUAUCAGCUUGUUGGUGGGGUAGUGGCUUACCAAGGCUUUGAAGGGUAGCCGGCCUGAUAGGGUGACCUGCCCCAUUGGGACUGGGAUACGGCCCAGACUCCUACGGUAGGCAGCAGUGGGGAAUAGUGCACAAUGGGCUGAAGCCUGAUGCAGCAACGCCGCGUGCGGGAUGACGGCCUUCGGGUUGUAUACCGCUUUCGCCUGUGACGAAGCGUGAGUGACGGUAAUGGGUAAAGAAGCACCGGCUAACUACGUG
This 468-nucleotide ribosomal RNA is filed under the name uncultured bacterium. RNAcentral describes it as "partial 16S ribosomal RNA". It matches the Rfam family "Bacterial small subunit ribosomal RNA", at positions 28 to 507 of the family's 1533-position model. The record is from RNAcentral.